AAUAUCCUAGAUACAAAUCGUAAGUGAAAUAGGAAAGAAAAUAAGACAUCCCAAGCACUUCAGGAAACCUAAUAAUUCUGCUUUUCCCGCAUGACCACAUACCUACAAAUACAAAUUUCUGUCUUCAAAAUUCUAUGUAAAGGGAGACUCUAGGACUGAUGUGCAUCACCACCUGCAUGAACAUGCACUUACCAGUGCAUGUUUCUUCCAUUCCGUGCUGUCAUCCAAAACUUUUCA
This 237-nucleotide long non-coding RNA is filed under the name Carica papaya (papaya). RNAcentral describes it as "long non-coding RNA (CPAP_LNC001694)". Lineage: Eukaryota; Viridiplantae; Streptophyta; Magnoliopsida; Brassicales; Caricaceae. The record is from RNAcentral.